CCUGGGUGUGGGGUGAGGGGGACUCUAGUGCUGGAGGCUGCCCAGGGCCUUGAGAGCCAGACAUCGAGUGUGGAGGACACCCUGGAGGAGGAGACGGAACCCUCCUGUUUGCUGGGGCUCGGCCCCCGGCGAGGCUGGCCGCAGGUGACCACAGAGACCUAGCCUGGUGUCGUGCGGCCGCUGGGUCUGUGAAGGGGAGUGAGGCACUCCUCACCCUGUGGCAGCUCCUAGUCAGGAGGCCUCUCCCCUCCACCUGCACGUCAUGUGGCUGUGGCUCCCAGGACCAGCGCCUGGAGCGGGUGAGUGAACGUCCCUCUCCUCCGUCGGCACUGCCUCCGCUGUGAGCCACCCUUCAGGCUACGUGCAUUUCCGACUGUUCUCAGGGUUUAACCGAAACCGAACAUUAACCGUAGCCCUAACGAAAAGGAGUGGGAUCCAGGCCUUGCCCUCUGGGCCGUGUGAGAGACAGACACUCGCCAACCAGUCCGCAGUGGCUCCCCGUGUGUGCGAGGCUCCCGCCUGCGUGUGUGCGUGUGCAUGUGUGCCUGCACACAGGGGAGGGAAAGUUCUUCAGCUGCCGAGGGUGGGAGUAGGGGCUGGAGCAGCACCCUGCGGCGAGGCCCCACAGGAGAAUCGAUGGUUCUGAUGCUGUCAGCCUCUGGGUGCAAAUUCUGAGGGCCCAGGAGCGUCUGGCGGCCCUGAGCAGCUUGCUGGGGAAGCUCCGUG
RNAcentral lists this long non-coding RNA (726 nucleotides) under Pan troglodytes (chimpanzee). RNAcentral describes it as "long non-coding RNA NONPTRT009056". The record is from RNAcentral. Lineage: Eukaryota; Metazoa; Chordata; Mammalia; Primates; Hominidae.